RNAcentral lists this non-coding RNA (23 nucleotides) under Arabidopsis thaliana (thale cress). The record is from RNAcentral. Lineage: Eukaryota; Viridiplantae; Streptophyta; Magnoliopsida; Brassicales; Brassicaceae.
CCUUUUCAGAUUCCCACGUCUAG